RNAcentral lists this ribosomal RNA (1478 nucleotides) under uncultured bacterium. RNAcentral's name for it is "bacterial SSU rRNA". It matches the Rfam family "Bacterial small subunit ribosomal RNA". The record is from RNAcentral.
CCUGGGUCAGAUUGAACGCGGCGGCAGGCCUAACACAUGCAAGUCGAACGGUAACAGGAAGAAGCUUGCUUCUUUGCUGACGAGUGGCGGACGGGUGAGUAAUGUCUGGGAAACUGCCUGAUGGAGGGGGAUAACUACUGGAAACGGUAGCUAAUACCGCAUAACGUCGCAAGACCAAAGAGGGGGACCUUCGGGCCUCUUGCCAUCGGAUGUGCCCAGAUGGGAUUAGCUUGUUGGUGGGGUAACGGCUCACCAAGGCGACGAUCCCUAGCUGGUCUGAGAGGAUGACCAGCCACACUGGAACUGAGACACGGUCCAGACUCCUACGGGAGGCAGCAGUGGGGAAUAUUGCACAAUGGGCGCAAGCCUGAUGCAGCCAUGCCGCGUGUAUGAAGAAGGCCUUCGGGUUGUAAAGUACUUUCAGCGGGGAGGAAGGGAGUAAAGUUAAUACCUUUGCUCAUUGACGUUACCCGCAGAAGAAGCACCGGCUAACUCCGUGCCAGCAGCCGCGGUAAUACGGAGGGUGCAAGCGUUAAUCGGAAUUACUGGGCGUAAAGCGCACGCAGGCGGUUUGUUAAGUCAGAUGUGAAAUCCCCGGGCUCAACCUGGGAACUGCAUCUGAUACUGGCAAGCUUGAGUCUCGUAGAGGGGGGUAGAAUUCCAGGUGUAGCGGUGAAAUGCGUAGAGAUCUGGAGGAAUACCGGUGGCGAAGGCGGCCCCCUGGACGAAGACUGACGCUCAGGUGCGAAAGCGUGGGGAGCAAACAAGAUUAGAUACCCUGGUAGUCCACGCCGUAAACGAUGUCGACUUGGAGGUUGUGCCCUUGAGGCGUGGCUCCCGGAGCUAACGCGUUAAGUCGACCGCCUGGGGAGUACGGCCGCAAGGUUAAAACUCAAAUGAAUUGACGGGGGCCCGCACAAGCGGUGGAGCAUGUGGUUUAAUUCGAUGCAACGCGAAGAACCUUACCUGGUCUUGACAUCCACGGAAGUUUUCAGAGAUGAGAAUGUGCCUUCGGGAACCGUGAGACAGGUGCUGCAUGGCUGUCGUCAGCUCGUGUUGUGAAAUGUUGGGUUAAGUCCCGCAACGAGCGCAACCCUUAUCCUUUGUUGCCAGCGGUCCGGCCGGGAACUCAAAGGAGACUGCCAGUGAUAAACUGGAGGAAGGUGGGGAUGACGUCAAGUCAUCAUGGCCCUUACGACCAGGGCUACACACGUGCUACAAUGGCGCAUACAAAGAGAAGCGACCUCGCGAGAGCAAGCGGACCUCAUAAAGUGCGUCGUAGUCCGGAUUGGAGUCUGCAACUCGACUCCAUGAAGUCGGAAUCGCUAGUAAUCGUGGAUCAGAAUGCCACGGUGAAUACGUUCCCGGGCCUUGUACACACCGCCCGUCACACCAUGGGAGUGGGUUGCAAAAGAAGUAGGUAGCUUAACCUUCGGGAGGGCGCUUACCACUUUGUGAUUCAUGACUGGGGUGAAGUC